This 254-nucleotide ribosomal RNA is filed under the name uncultured bacterium. RNAcentral describes it as "partial 16S ribosomal RNA". It matches the Rfam family "Bacterial small subunit ribosomal RNA", at positions 524 to 776 of the family's 1533-position model. The record is from RNAcentral.
UACGUAGGGACCGAGCGUUGUCCGGAAUCAUUGGGCGUAAAGAGCGUGUAGGCGGCCACUUAAGUCCUGCGUGAAAUCCUGCGGCUCAACCGCAGGCGGUCGUGGGAAACUGGGUGGCUAGAGUGCGGGAGAGGAGAGUGGAAUUCCUGGUGUAGCGGUGGAAUGCGCAGAUAUCAGGAAGAACACCCGUGGCGAAGGCGGCUCUCUGGAACGCAACUGACGCUGAGACGCGAAAAGCGUGGGGAGCAAACAGG